This 497-nucleotide ribosomal RNA is filed under the name uncultured bacterium. RNAcentral's name for it is "partial 16S ribosomal RNA". It matches the Rfam family "Bacterial small subunit ribosomal RNA", at positions 28 to 507 of the family's 1533-position model. The record is from RNAcentral.
GAUGAACGCUGGCGGCGUGCCUAAUACAUGCAAGUCGAGCGAACAGAUGAGGAGCUUGCUCCUCUGACGUUAGCGGCGGACGGGUGAGUAACACGUGGAUAACCUACCUAUAAGACUGGGAUAACUUCGGGAAACCGGAGCUAAUACCGGAUAAUAUAUUGAACCGCAUGGUUCAAUAGUGAAAGACGGUUUUGCUGUCACUUAUAGAUGGAUCCGCGCCGCAUUAGCUAGUCGGUAAGGUAACGGCUUACCAAGGCAACGAUGUGUAGCCGACCUGAGAGGGUGAUCGGCCACACUGGAACUGAGACACGGUCCAGACUCCUACGGGAGGCAGCAGUAGGGAAUCUUCCGCAAUGGGCGAAAGCCUGACGGAGCAACGCCGCGUGAGUGAUGAAGGUCUUCGGAUCGUAAAACUCUGUUAUUAGGGAAGAACAAAUGUGUAAGUAACUAUGCACGUCUUGACGGUACCUAAUCAGAAAGCCACGGCUAACUACGUG